AAGCUCAGGGAAGAGCAGAGCCAUCCAGGAGAGAACUUGGAGGAAGAGGAAGACAAUAGUUUCCUUGGAAGAGCUGUGAGUACUAGAAAAGUACUGUCCUGUAUCCUGGAGGGACACCAGAUGGAACCAAAGACCAGGUUAUUUAAGUCAAUCAGUCAAAAACCAAAACCUUAAUUUACAAUUAAAAAGUUUUUUUUUAAAAUAAACAAUCUAAAUGACUACUUUCCUGAGCCUGU
This 236-nucleotide long non-coding RNA is filed under the name Monodelphis domestica (gray short-tailed opossum). Its description in RNAcentral is "lncRNA (ENSMODG00000033194.2)". Lineage: Eukaryota; Metazoa; Chordata; Mammalia; Didelphimorphia; Didelphidae. The record is from RNAcentral.